This 403-nucleotide ribosomal RNA is filed under the name uncultured bacterium. Its description in RNAcentral is "bacterial SSU rRNA". It matches the Rfam family "Bacterial small subunit ribosomal RNA", at positions 355 to 774 of the family's 1533-position model. The record is from RNAcentral.
UAGGGAAUAUUGCAAAAUGGGCGAAAGCCCGAUGCAGCAACGCCGCGUGGGCGAUGAAGGCCUUCGGGUCGUAAAGCCCUUUUUGAGGGGAUGAGGAAGGACAGUACCCUCAGAAUAAGCCUCGGCUAACUACGUGCCAGCAGCCGCGGUAAGACGUAGGAGGCGAGCGUUAUCCGGAUUUACUGGGCGUAAAGCGCGUGCAGGCGGAUUGGAGAGUUGGAUGUGAAAGCUCCCGGCUUAACUGGGAGAGGUCGUUCAAUACUUCCAGUCUUGAGUGCAGUAGAGGGAAGUGGAAUUCCGGGUGUAGUGGUGAAAUGCGUAGAUAUCCGGAGGAACACCAGUGGCGAAAGCGGCUUCCUGGACUGUAACUGACGCUCAGACGCGAAAGCUAGGGUAGCAAACG